UAUUGUGGAGGUCAGGAGUUAAGUGUUAGAUGCCCGAUCCUCCUUGCUUGGUAUCCAGUUUGGUUUCAUAAUAUAAGUGUGUUGCAGGGGAAUCUUUUCCUCUACCCAUCUUAGGUUUUCCAACUGAAACCUUAUAAGUUAGACUGGCCAAAGACUGAUUAACAAGAGAAAAACAAGUCUACUUACAAGUUCGUUGUCUGUGUACACACAGGAACACUAAGAGUCUUCAAAGGAGAACGACCCAUUUCCCAAUUUACUUGAUAGAAGUCCCUAAACUCGGAGCAUCGAGUGUGAGGCUUUGGAGCUGCAAGUGCCUGAGCUUGGAUUUCAGGUUAAUUGUGGUCUCAGAUGCUGCCAUCUAACCAAUCUAAGAAUCCCAUGUUGGGCUGGAAAAUGCGUCUGGAGAGUAGGGGACGGUAUUUGCUGCUCAGUUGUUAGGUAUGAUAUGCUGUGCCCCCUAGAGGCAUUAAAAGUUUCUCUUCCUA
This is a long non-coding RNA of Homo sapiens (human), 485 nucleotides long. RefSeq lists it as uncharacterized. Lineage: Eukaryota; Metazoa; Chordata; Mammalia; Primates; Hominidae. The record is from RefSeq and is a predicted model, not a curated record. The transcript has 2 exons.